UAUAAGAGAUCCACUGUCGUUAAUGGAAGC
This 30-nucleotide non-coding RNA is filed under the name Mus musculus (house mouse). The record is from RNAcentral. Lineage: Eukaryota; Metazoa; Chordata; Mammalia; Rodentia; Muridae.